This 1305-nucleotide ribosomal RNA is filed under the name Glaesserella parasuis. RNAcentral describes it as "partial 23S ribosomal RNA". The record is from RNAcentral. Lineage: Bacteria; Pseudomonadati; Pseudomonadota; Gammaproteobacteria; Pasteurellales; Pasteurellaceae.
UAAACCGUACUGAAAACCGACACAGGUGGUCAGGUAGAGAAUACUCAGGCGCUUGAGAGAACUCGGGUGAAGGAACUAGGCAAAAUAGCACCGUAACUUCGGGAGAAGGUGCGCUGGCGUAGGUUGUAGGAGUAUACCUCCGAAGGCUGAACCAGUCGAAGAUACCAGCUGGCUGCAACUGUUUAUUAAAAACACAGCACUCUGCAAACACGAAAGUGGACGUAUAGGGUGUGAUGCCUGCCCGGUGCUGGAAGGUUAAUUGAUGGUGUAAUCGAAAGAGAAGCUCCUGAUCGAAGCCCCAGUAAACGGCGGCCGUAACUAUAACGGUCCUAAGGUAGCGAAAUUCCUUGUCGGGUAAGUUCCGACCUGCACGAAUGGCAUAAUGAUGGCCAGGCUGUCUCCACCCGAGACUCAGUGAAAUUGAAAUCGCCGUGAAGAUGCGGUGUACCCGCGGCUAGACGGAAAGACCCCGUGAACCUUUACUAUAGCUUGACACUGAACAUUGAAUUUUGAUGUGUAGGAUAGGUGGGAGCCUAAGAAGCAGUCACGCCAGUGAUUGUGGAGGCGUCCUUGAAAUACCACCCUUUAACGUUUGAUGUUCUAACGAAGAUUGCGAAACGCGGUCUCGGACAGUGUCUGGUGGGUAGUUUGACUGGGGCGGUCUCCUCCCAAAGAGUAACGGAGGAGCACGAAGGUUUGCUAAUCACGGUCGGACAUCGUGAGGUUAGUGCAAUGGUAUAAGCAAGCUUAACUGCGAGACAGACAAGUCGAGCAGGUGCGAAAGCAGGUCAUAGUGAUCCGGUGGUUCUGAAUGGAAGGGCCAUCGCUCAACGGAUAAAAGGUACUCCGGGGAUAACAGGCUGAUACCGCCCAAGAGUUCAUAUCGACGGCGGUGUUUGGCACCUCGAUGUCGGCUCAUCACAUCCUGGGGCUGAAGUAGGUCCCAAGGGUAUGGCUGUUCGCCAUUUAAAGUGGUACGCGAGCUGGGUUUAGAACGUCGUGAGACAGUUCGGUCCCUAUCUGCCGUGGGCGUUGGAGAAUUGAGAGGGGCUGCUCCUAGUACGAGAGGACCGGAGUGGACGCAUCACUGGUGURCCAGUUGUCUCGCCAGAGGCACUGCUGGGUAGCUAAAUGCGGAAGAGAUAAGUGCUGAAAGCAUCUAAGCACGAAACUCGCCUUAAGAUGAGUUCUCCCACACAAUAAGUGUGUAAGGGUUGUUGGAGACGACGACGUAGAUAGGUCUGGUGUGUAAGCGGUGUGAGCCGUUGAGCUAACAGAUACUAAUUGCCCGAGAGGCUUAACUAU